UACGUAGGGUGCAAGCGUUGUCCGGAAUUAUUGGGCGUAAAGAGCUCGUAGGCGGCCUGUCACGUCGACUGUGAAAACCCGAGGCUCAACCUCGGGCCUGCAGUCGAUACGGGCAGGCUAGAGUUCGGUAGGGGAGACUGGAAUUCCUGGUGUAGCGGUGAAAUGCGCAGAUAUCAGGAGGAACACCGGUGGCGAAGGCGGGUCUCUGGGCCGAUACUGACGCUGAGGAGCGAAAGCGUGGGGAGCGAACAGG
Molecule: ribosomal RNA, 253 nt
Filed under: uncultured bacterium
Lineage: Bacteria
Description: partial 16S ribosomal RNA
Rfam family: Bacterial small subunit ribosomal RNA
Source: RNAcentral